CCCCCCCCCAGAAACAUUGUAGGUGUGGCUGCUGUGUCACAUGUACAGCAGUAGGGGGCAGAGAGGAGAGGGGCUACGUCUGUGUUGAGUGUUCUGAUCUAUGAACAGCUGAAUGAUUAGUAGCCUAGUAUU
Small nucleolar RNA from Rattus norvegicus (Norway rat), 132 nucleotides. Ensembl annotates it as small nucleolar RNA SNORA17. The record is from Ensembl. NCBI's taxonomy places the organism in Eukaryota, Metazoa, Chordata, Mammalia, Rodentia, Muridae.